AAAAAGUGCAAAGCAAAGAAUCAAAGCAGUAUUCUCUCCCUCCUCAGUCCUCUCUCUUUCCAUCUCCAGCUUUCAGCACUCUCGAGGUUACGCACACUUUGAUGUUGUCUCCAACCGUCUGACACUAAAACUCUAUUACUGUCCUCCCAUGCCACUACAAUACACCAUUUCUUUUACCAUUAUUAAUUAUAUGCUCAACAUAUAUUAAUCUUAUAUACAUACAUACAUACAUUAUACAAAGGCAUAGCACAGAGUGUCUGAGGCUGUUCCCAAAUGCACGGACUACCUCUACUCACUAGCAGGAUACGUUAUUUUCUUUUCUUCUCUUUUAUUUUUCUUCAUUUAUAUCUCUGUCUCUGUCCAUUUUGUAUUUAAAGCUACCAACUGCUCUUUUUUAUCUGAGAAGCUGCAAUGAAUUAGAUGGUAUCAUUCAUUGUUUUAAGACUUGGGUUUGCUACUUUUUAGUUUAAGUCUAUUUGCUUUCCUUGCUGCAUAUUUUCAUGGGGAAGGUUGGAGGAAGCUCUUGGUUGGCUGCUGUUAAAAGGGCUUUCAGGUCUCCUACUAAGGAUAAUGAGAAGAAAAGCUGCAGAAGGAGGGAAGAUCGAGAACAAGAAGAUGAAGAGAAGAAGAGAGGUAAAAGAAGAUGGAUUUUCAGGAAACCUUCUUCAGCUCAUGAAACAACAGUUAUACAACAUUCUGCAGAAAAGAGCUUAACUACUGCUACUGCUAUUAGUGAAGCAGCUGAUGUUAAGCAAAGACAAGCACUUGCAAUGGCCAUGGCCACAACAGCAGCUGCUCAGGCAGCAGUUGCAACAGCCCAAGCAGCUGUGGAAGUGGUUAGACUCGCCAGGCCUUCCCUUUUCAUGAAGCAACACUUUGCUGCCAUUGCUAUACAGACAGCUUUCAGAGGAUAUCUGGCAAGGAGAGCUCUUCGGGCGCUUAAGGGACUGGUAAAGCUGCAAGCCUUAGUGAGAGGCCACAAUGUUAGAAAGCGAGCAAAGAUGACUCUUCACUGCAUGCAGGCUCUGAUGAGGGUUCAAGCACGGGUUCGAGAUCAACGCAAGAGAGUUUCUUAUGAAGGAAGCACAAAUUCCAUCUCAAGUGAUGCAAACAGCUUGUGGGGGUCUUAUCUUGCUGAUAGGAAGUCCAUUUCAAGGGAUGAAAGCAGCACUGCUGAUGAAUGGGUCAAUUGGGAUGAUCAACAUCCACAGUCGCUGGAGGAGAUCCAAGUAAUGUUGCAAGAAACAAAGCAAGCUGCCUUGAAGCGUGAGAAGGCCCUUGCUCAUGCUUUCUCUCGCCAGGUUUUGACCUCUUCAUUUCCUCCUCAUUUCAUCUGCUCUAUACAUAAUGCAACAUUCUUUAAUUUGCUGCACUGCAUGAUUUUGCUUACAGAUAUGGAGACCCAGUAGGGACACAUAUGCAAGUGAAGGAGAACUGGAAGAGAAACGCAGAUGGAAUGAUCGGUGGACAACGAGGAAGCAAUUAGAGAACAAAGGGAUCAGAGGUUUAAAUGAUCAGAGAGACCCCAUUAAAACUGUUGAAGUGGACACCUCUCAGCCUUACACUUUCUCAACCCCAAACACUCGUAAAUCCCAUCAUGAAUAUCAUCACUACCAACAACAAAGGCCAAGUUCAUAUUCUGUUGCUUCUCCUCUCUCUAGAGUACACAGCAAUUUCCCACUUCAACCACCAUUAACACCAUCCCCAUCCAAAGCAAGAACACUACUCCAAGUUCAUUCAGCUAGCCCUCGCUGCCUAAGAGAAGACGGGAACCAGCAGGAUCACAAAGGUGCAAGUACUCCAAAUGCUAUAGCUACUUCAGUGCCUAGCUACAUGGCUGCCACUGCUUCAGCCAAGGCUCGUUUCCGGUCACAAAGUGCACCAAGGCAGAGGCCGUCAACCCCAGAGAGAGAAAAGGUAGGUUCAGCUUCAGCAGCCAAAAAACGCCUUUCUUUCCCAGUUCCUGAUCCUGUGACAAGCAAUAAUGUUGUGGGUUAUAGCAUAAGGAGUCCAAGCUACAGAGGCAAUGUUCAUGAAGCCUAUCUUGGAAUGGAGCAGAGGUGUAACAUGUCUUCUUGCUGCACAGAUAGCAUUGGAGAUGAGGUAUCUCCUCCUUCAACCAAUGAUCUUAGCAGAUGGUUAAGAUAAUUAAAUCCAAGCUAGCAGCAGAUACCCAAACAAGUGAUGAAUGAAACAGAUUUGCAUGCAUGGCUAACUAGGAGGAUAUAGCAAGCUUGAUGACCAUAUUGAGGAUGUGUAGAUUUACAAGUGAAGGUGAAGGUAGAUGAAAGAGUCACAAUGUGAAGAGAAAUUUGCUAUAUGAAGAUAUAAAUUUUUAU
RNAcentral lists this unclassified non-coding RNA (2339 nucleotides) under Hevea brasiliensis (rubber tree). Lineage: Eukaryota; Viridiplantae; Streptophyta; Magnoliopsida; Malpighiales; Euphorbiaceae. The record is from RNAcentral.